UUUGUGUCCUCAGGCGGCUCCAGACCCGGAGAAGGUCUGCUCUUCCUCCCUCUCAAGCCCCCGGCGGGCCUCACCCUUAUUCCAUUUCCGUAUUCCAAUCCUCUCCUUUCUCAGCUGAGUCCCCCUUCCCCCUCUCUCAUCCUUUUCCAGUUCUCCCCUCCCCCGUCCGCCCGCCUUCCACCCAGUCCCCGCCUGCGGCAUUGCGGCUUCCUUCUCCUCCGGUGCCCCGCACCCAGCCCGCCGCGAGGUCACCGGGCAGAUUCCCUCCACUCGUCAUCCUUCGUCCUCUCCCCACCUCUGCGAGCUGGGUUUGGGGACUUCUGGGUGGAACGCAGACCAACAGUUUGUCCUUGGUGCCCUUCCUCCCUGUUCUCCAGCGCCCCAGCCCCAGACACCCGUCCCCCAGCGGGCGAAAGCCCGGGAGCGCCUUCCCCGAAAGACGUCGCGGUGCGACGGGGCCCCGGCCCUACAGUAGCAUCUUACUCCCGCCCCUGCCUGGAAAGCAGGCCCCUCCCUAAGCUCUGCGCCCUCUUCCCUGGGCGCCCUCGGACCGUGGCCCGAAGCCUAGUGUUGGGAGGGCUUGCAUGGGCGCUUGACGGCAGUCCCCGAGCCCCAGGUCCCGCCGGCUCCAGUUCCCACCUGGACUGGGGUCUUCCGCUGCCGCAGCCUCCUCCAGACGCACCGCCGCCUCCGGUUGCUGCACCCAGCUCGGAGCCCGCAGUUUUCACCGGGGAUGGAGGAGAGGGGGAGCGGGGAGCCGGGGGCUCAGCCAAUCAGAGGCGGAGAUGGGGGGAGAAAGGAUGGCAGGGUGGGGUGGGGGGGUGGGGAAGGAAGAGAAGGCGGUCCCGUAUUGGUGUGAGAGUGGCAGGUUGCGGCGGAAGGGGGCCCUCAUCCUGUGGCUGUGGCCGGGGAUCAGGGUGGGGCAGCCCAAAGAACAUUAGCCUCCUCUCUGAGCCCCGCAAUGGUUGUUCCCCUUUUAACGCUUUAACCCUUUUCUUCUGA
RNAcentral lists this long non-coding RNA (1002 nucleotides) under Papio anubis (olive baboon). Its description in RNAcentral is "lncRNA (ENSPANG00000050262.1)". Lineage: Eukaryota; Metazoa; Chordata; Mammalia; Primates; Cercopithecidae. The record is from RNAcentral.